CGGGUUGUAAAGUACUUUCAGCUAGUGAGGAAGGUGGGUAUGUUAAUAGCAUAUUCAUUUGACGUUAGCUGCAGAAGAAGCACCGGCUAACUCCGUGCCAGCAGCCGCGGUAAUACGGAGGGUGCGAGCGUUAAAUCGGAAUUACUGGGCGUAAAGCGCAUGCAGGUGGUUUGUUAAGUCAGAUGUGAAAAGCCCGGGGCUCAACCUCGGAAUUGCAUUUGAAAACUGGCAAACUAGAGUACUGUAGAGGGGGUAGAAUUUCAGGUGUAGCGGUGAAAAUGCGUAGAGAUCUGAAGGAAUACCGGUGGCGAAGGCGGCCCCCCUGGACAGAUACUGACACUCAGAUGCGAAAGCGUGGGGAGCAAACAGGAUUAGAUACCCUGGGAG
Molecule: ribosomal RNA, 387 nt
Filed under: uncultured bacterium
Lineage: Bacteria
Description: bacterial SSU rRNA
Rfam family: Bacterial small subunit ribosomal RNA
Source: RNAcentral